RNAcentral lists this ribosomal RNA (503 nucleotides) under uncultured bacterium. RNAcentral's name for it is "partial 16S ribosomal RNA". It matches the Rfam family "Bacterial small subunit ribosomal RNA", at positions 30 to 523 of the family's 1533-position model. The record is from RNAcentral.
AUUGAACGCUGGCGGCAGGCUUAACACAUGCAAGUCGAGCGGGGGAAGGUAGCUUGCUACCGGACCUAGCGGCGGACGGGUGAGUAAUGCUUAGGAAUCUGCCUAUUAGUGGGGGACAACAUCUCGAAAGGGAUGCUAAUACCGCAUACGUCCUACGGGAGAAAGCAGGGGAUCACUUGUGACCUUGUGCUAAUAGAUGAGCCUAAGUCAGAUUAGCUAGUUGGUGGGGUAAAGGCCUACCAAGGCGACGAUCUGUAGCGGGUCGGAGAGGAUGAUCCGCCACACUGGGACUGAGACACGGCCCAGACUCCUACGGGAGGCAGCAGUGGGGAAUAUUGGACAAUGGGGGGAACCCUGAUCCAGCCAUGCCGCGUGUGUGAAGAAGGCCUUAUGGUUGUAAAGCACUUUAAGCGAGGAGGAGGCUCUUUUGGUUAAUACCCAAGAUGAGUGGACGUUACUCGCAGAAUAAACACCGGCUAACUCUGUGCCAGCAGCCGCCGUAA